GAGUUUGAUCAUGGCUCAGAUUGAACGCUGGCGGCAGGCUUAACACAUGCAAGUCGAACGGUAGCAGGAGAAAGCUUGCUUUCUUGCUGACGAGUGGCGGACGGGUGAGUAAUGCUUGGGAAUCUGGCUUAUGGAGGGGGAUAACUACGGGAAACUGUAGCUAAUACCGCGUAGUAUCGGAAGAUGAAAGUGCGGGACCGUAAGGCCGCAUGCCAUGAGAUGAGCCCAAGUGGGAUUAGGUAGUUGGUGGGGUAAAGGCCUACCAAGCCUGCGAUCUCUAGCUGGUCUGAGAGGAUGGCCAGCCACACUGGAACUGAGACACGGUCCAGACUCCUACGGGAGGCAGCAGUGGGGAAUAUUGCACAAUGGGCGCAAGCCUGAUGCAGCGACGCCGCGUGAGGGAUGGAGGCCUUCGGGUUGUGAACCUCUUUCGCCAGUGAAGCAGGCCUGCCUCGUUUGUGGGUGGGUUGACGGUAGCUGGAUAAGAAGCGCCGGCUAACUACGUGCCAGCAGCCGCGGUAAUACGUAGGGCGCGAGCGUUGUCCGGAAUUAUUGGGCGUAAAGAGCUCGUAGGCGGCUGGUCGCGUCUGUCGUGAAAUCCUCUGGCUUAACUGGGGGCUUGCGGUGGGUACGGGCCGGCUUGAGUGCGGUAGGGGAGACUGGAACUCCUGGUGUAGCGGUGGAAUGCGCAGAUAUCAGGAAGAACACCGGUGGCGAAGGCGGGUCUCUGGGCCGUUACUGACGCUGAGGAGCGAAAGCGUGGGGAGCGAACAGGAUUAGAUACCCUGGUAGUCCACGCCGUAAACGUUGGGCACUAGGUGUGGGGGGCCUUUUCCGGGUCUUCCGCGCCGUAGCUAACGCAUUAAGUGCCCCGCCUGGGGAGUACGGCCGCAAGGCUAAAACUCAAAGGAAUUGGCGGGGGCCCGCACAAGCGGCGGAGCAUGCGGAUUAAUUCGAUGCAACGCGAAGAACCUUACCAAGGCUUGACAUGUGCCGGUCUGCUCCGGAGACGGGGUUUCCUCCUUUGUGGGGGCUGGUUCACAGGUGGUGCAUGGUUGUCGUCAGCUCGUGUCGUGAGAUGUUGGGUUAAGUCCCGCAACGAGCGCAACCCUUGUCUCGUGUUGCCAGCACGUUGUGGUGGGGACUCGCGGGAGACUGCCGGGGUCAACUCGGAGGAAGGUGGGGAUGACGUCAAAUCAUCAUGCCCCUUAUGUCUUGGGCUUCACGCAUGCUACAAUGGCCGGUACAGAGGGCUGCGAUACCGUGAGGUGGAGCGAAUCCCUUAAAGCCGGUCUCAGUUCGGAUCGGUGUCUGCAACUCGACACCGUGAAGUUGGAGUCGCUAGUAAUCGCAGAUCAGCAACGCUGCGGUGAAUACGUUCUCGGGCCUUGCACACACCGCCCGUC
This 1406-nucleotide ribosomal RNA is filed under the name uncultured bacterium. Its description in RNAcentral is "bacterial SSU rRNA". It matches the Rfam family "Bacterial small subunit ribosomal RNA". The record is from RNAcentral.